GGCGAAGAUGAUUGUUUGCUAAUUAUUCUGACACCUCUUGUAUGAGAAUGGCGAAAGCUAUUCGUUGAGCAGAUAAAGCAACACUCUGAGCC
This is a non-coding RNA of Helianthus annuus (common sunflower), 92 nucleotides long. NCBI's taxonomy places the organism in Eukaryota, Viridiplantae, Streptophyta, Magnoliopsida, Asterales, Asteraceae. The record is from Rfam.